This 31-nucleotide non-coding RNA is filed under the name Homo sapiens (human). The record is from RNAcentral. Lineage: Eukaryota; Metazoa; Chordata; Mammalia; Primates; Hominidae.
UGCCCUUGAACUUGUUCUACUGAGCGGUGUU